RNAcentral lists this transfer RNA (73 nucleotides) under Microcoleus sp. CAN_BIN18. RNAcentral describes it as "tRNA-Phe". It matches the Rfam family "tRNA". From Rfam's summary of the family: Transfer RNA (tRNA) molecules are approximately 80 nucleotides in length. Lineage: Bacteria; Bacillati; Cyanobacteriota; Cyanophyceae; Oscillatoriales; Microcoleaceae. The record is from RNAcentral.
GCCGAGAUAGCUCAGUUGGUAGAGCAAUGGACUGAAAAUCCAUGUGUCCGGGGUUCAAGUCCCCGUCUUGGCA